This 408-nucleotide long non-coding RNA is filed under the name Trifolium pratense (red clover). Its description in RNAcentral is "long non-coding RNA (TPRA_LNC012379)". Lineage: Eukaryota; Viridiplantae; Streptophyta; Magnoliopsida; Fabales; Fabaceae. The record is from RNAcentral.
GAAUGAUAAAGGGGUCGCCGUCUAGGGUUUGGAGAAUGAUUGAAGAAAUUAGGGACGAUGGCGAUUUGGGAAGAAAUUGGGAAGAAAUUUGGGAACGAUGAAGAAUGAGAAUGAAGAAUGAAGAAAUUAGGGACGACGUACGGUGUGUUCUCGCGUUCGCGUAGGAAGAAUUUGGGAACGAUAAGAAUGAAGAAGAGAAUGAACAAAUUAAUUAAUUAAUGAACACUAAUAGGGAUUCCACUACGGGUGAAUACCAAAACGGUAGUGAAAUCCAAUUAAAACAAAUUUUAAUGUAAUUACAACAUUGCCACCGUGUCUACUUUUCACUACUGAUUUAAGAAAACCAGUAGUGAAAUCCCUUGUCUAUGAACUUUUCACUACCGGUAUUAAAAUAUCAGUAGUGGAAUC